AUGGCUUCAGAGUGGAACAGGGAAUUUGGCUGGGAUUUUGGGAUGGAAUUCCCGGAGCAGCUGGGGCUGCCCCUGGAUCCCUGGCAGUGCCCAGGGCCAGGCUGGAGCAGGGGGGGACAGCGGGAGGUGACCCUGCCAUGGCAGGGCUGGCACUGGGUGGGCAGGGCCGGGUCGGACGCUCCUUCCAGGCCGAUAUUCCCGGUUUUAGGAAGCUCUUCCCGCUUGCCAGAGCAGACGGAGCCCGGUGCCAGCAGAGGGCGGGCGGGACUGCGGCACCCGCGGCCGGAGGGAGCGGGACAGAACCGGGAUGGAGCGGGGACAGCACCGGGAGAGAGCGGGGACAGCACCGGGAGGGAGCGGGGACAGCACCGGGCAGAGGGGACAGCACUGGGAGAGAGAGGGGACAGCACCGGGAGGGAGAGGGGACAGCACCGGGAAGGAGCGGGGACAGCACCGGGAGAGAGCGGGGACAGCACGGGGCAGAGGGGACAGCACCGGGCAGGGGGACAGCACCGGGAGAGGGGGGACAGCACCGGGAUGGAGCGGGGACAGCACCGGGCAGGGGGGACAGCACCGGGAUGGAGCGGGGACAGCACCGGGCAGGGGGGACAGCACCGGGGACAGCACCGGGAUGGAGCGGGGACAGCACCGGGCAGGGGGGACAGCACCGGGCAGGGGAAACAGGAGCUCGGCCGGCCGGGAAAUGUCCCUGGAGCAGCUCCGUGCGUGAGAGGGGAUUUGUGCCGGACCGUGCGGGGACAACCGGCGGCCGGGCUGGGUCCCCAUGUCCUGCUGGUCACUCCUGCAGCACCUGGCAGUGACCCCUCAUGUCCUCCUCCUCCUCCCCCCACCCCGGGCCGCAUCACAGAGCGGAGCAGGAGCCGGCUGGGGUCGGCACGGUGCGGCUUUAUUUCCACGGAGCGGGGCGAGGUUUUCCCCCCACGGGCUCAAAUCCCUUCGUACAAACCCUCCCACGGCUUUGGCAGCCCCGCGGUUCCCCUGCUCACCCCUCGGCCGCUCCCAGAGCCCUGGGAGAGGCAGGGAAGGGCCGGACACCCCUGGCAGCUCCUUGAGGAGCCUCUCCCGGGUGUUUUGGGGACCCUCGAUCCGUCCUGGUGUCCCCAGCCGGGUGGGGAUGCCCCUCGCUCCAUUGUCACCAGCUGGGCAGGGACAGGGCUGAGGGGACAGGGCUGGAGGCCAAGGGGGGGCUGCACUGAGGGGGGGUUUUCCACCUACCCCUCCUUUUUGGGGGGCUCGGGAGUGGCACACACGAGGAACAAAGCCAGCGCUCGGGGUGGUGCCGAGGAACCCCUGACGGACACAGCUCAGCUACAGGACACACACACACGCACUGCAGCACGGGGGGCACUCCCGGGGGCACGGGGGGCAUGGGGGGUCAAAGCUCGGGGCUGGCACCGGGCACAGAGCCCAGCCCGGGGACCCCGCGGGCCGAGGGCAGGUCCCGCCAUGCCCCGUCCCGUCCCCUCCUGCCCCUCCGCUGGUGCCCGGGGACACGAGGGGCAGCGGGGCCCGCGUGGAGCCCGAGCCCUGCCCAAGCCCCCCCGUCCCCCAGCGGGCUGCCAAGAGAACUGA
RNAcentral lists this long non-coding RNA (1593 nucleotides) under Taeniopygia guttata (zebra finch). RNAcentral's name for it is "lncRNA (ENSTGUG00000029130.1)". Lineage: Eukaryota; Metazoa; Chordata; Aves; Passeriformes; Estrildidae. The record is from RNAcentral.